GCUGGGCAUGGUGACACAUGCCUGUAAUCCCAGUGGCUCAGGAGGCUGAGGCAGGAGGAUUGCAAAUUCAAAGCCAGCCUCAG
This 83-nucleotide small RNA is filed under the name Marmota monax (woodchuck). Lineage: Eukaryota; Metazoa; Chordata; Mammalia; Rodentia; Sciuridae. The record is from RNAcentral.